Long non-coding RNA from Onychostoma macrolepis, 374 nucleotides. RefSeq lists it as uncharacterized. The transcript has 3 exons. The record is from RefSeq and is a predicted model, not a curated record. Lineage: Eukaryota; Metazoa; Chordata; Actinopteri; Cypriniformes; Cyprinidae.
GACUGCUGGAAGAUAACGUUUACCGUCUCAAAUCCACGAUGAGGAUGAUCAGGAAAACCCGCUGGUUUGGCAAUACAGAAUUCAUCCAGCAUCAAGAAAGGGUCGAGAUUCUUCAACUGAAAGAAAACAUUUUCAGAGCUCCCAAGUGCACCGGAAGUCAGAAAAUAAACAAGAUGCACAUUUAUUUAGACAACUCGGCACUGCAGUGUUAUCCGCUCUUACAGGAAAUCUUCACCUAUGACAGGUGUUUGUAUGUAGAUGUUACAACCACAUGAGGCCGUGCAUAUGUGAUAAGUACUCUUCAGUGCGGAUCUUCUCCAUCCUUUCUGAUGUACUCUCAUCCAAUCCACUGUGUUGAGCUAUGAUGUCUUUGA